GGUGCUAUGCUAAAUCCGUGCAUGAAAUAUAAUAAUAUGUGCCACUUUAGUACUCUUAUUUAUACUAACUUAGAAAUAAAUACUAACCAUGAUUCUGAACAAGUACAACCUGAUUUGUGGACGGCUACGGCUGAUGCAAAGGAUUACAUAGAAAAAUUAUAUAAUCACUAUGCUGAUUUAUUUGAUUUAGCCGUACCUACAAAUAUCACUCCAACUGUCGCUCCUCAUCCUCCCGAGGAGCCAUCAUCUUCUAAAAGGCCAGCACAUAGUGGUUUUCCUGAUUCCUUUU
RNAcentral lists this long non-coding RNA (289 nucleotides) under Capsicum annuum. RNAcentral's name for it is "long non-coding RNA (CANN_LNC010873)". The record is from RNAcentral. Lineage: Eukaryota; Viridiplantae; Streptophyta; Magnoliopsida; Solanales; Solanaceae.